RNAcentral lists this small RNA (605 nucleotides) under Arabidopsis thaliana (thale cress). RNAcentral describes it as "ATSL275930". Lineage: Eukaryota; Viridiplantae; Streptophyta; Magnoliopsida; Brassicales; Brassicaceae. The record is from RNAcentral.
GUCCUUCGACACCUACGUGCAUUUUCGUCUCUGGAUUGCUUCUGUAGCUUAAGUUGUCUGUUUUGCUCCAGAAUGCUCUAUAAUCUCCAAAUGUAUCUCAAACAUGUAAAGACCUGAAAAGGAUUAGAAAAGACUUUAUAAAUAACAAAUAGACUCUAAAACCUAUACCUAAACCAUAGUUAAAAACAGUAAAAAUAGGGUUAUAUCAGCAAGCAAGAGAUAAGUUUGGGGGAGUUGAUAACACUGUAUUUUACUCAUUUUAGGUGUAUGUUUAUCAUCAUUUAGCUUUGCAUUUGCUCAUUGUAUCAUAUCAUUUUGCACCAUUUUAGCUUGUUUUGCAUACUUAGGCAUCUAGGAUCAUCUUGCAUAUGCAUUGCAUGUUUCAGGUGCAGAAUGAGCUAAAAAGGACUCUACUCGAUCCAUUCAAUCGAUCCAGGCAGCUACAGAAGAGGCAUCAUUCUACUCGACCUCUUUACUCGAUCCAGGAUGCUACAAAGGAGGCUGCACUUUAUUCGACCCUCUUACUCGAUCAAGGCAACCUUAGAUGAAGCAUUAGAUUGAUCUACUCGCCCCUCCUACUCGAUCCAUUUACUCGACCAAGGGUG